UGCAAUAAACUCGAAUUAUAUGUGUAUCCUACAGAAAAUGCAGUAUUAAUGCUAAAAAGUGAUUUGUCCUGCAUCAUCACUAUGUUGUAUUCGUUUAAAAAAACGGCGCCAAGAAAGAAAGGACAUGCGCAUUGUUCUCCUGAGCCAGUUAACGUAGAGCUGGUACAUUGCUGUCUUCACUGGAGUGCUGCAAGCUCGAAGUGUGGCUGCAGCACUUCUCGCUCGUAACGUGAAACUUAAAAACACGCCAAGGAGUGGAUGCAAGUGAACUAUCAAUCUACUGAAACAGAAGCGGGAAAUGUAUUCGAAGACGAAAAUGCUCGCGCGACCUGUGCGUCAGACCCGGAUAAACGCACGCGAGCUGACAAAAUCCUGAGUAGCUGUUAUUCAACAUAAACACAUUUCCGCACACAUGAAGAUGGAUGACGAUAGUUCAUCUUAAAAUGAAACUUAUGUUUAUCAGCUUACCCCCAGGCCAUCCAAGAGAUGCUCUUAAGAACAACGCCCUGAUGUCCAAGGUCAACCAGCAAGAAGCUGAGAAGGCACUGCCAAAAUGGUUUACUGGGGCAAGGGACAGAGGAGGACAGAGAGCAUCAAGAAUGCAGAAAAGGAUGUCUGUUUGAGAAAGGCGGAUUUUGUUUUUCUGAAGCCAUUCUCCUCUGGACUUGCUCCGGUGUUUUGGGUCUUUGUCCUGUUGCAUCACCCAGACAUUCCUCCUACAGACAUUCACACAUUAUCCUGAAGAAUUGUCUGAUAAACUUGGGAAUUUAUCUUCCCCUCAAUGAUUGCAAGCUGGCCAUACCCUGAUGCAGCAAAGCAGGCCCAAAUCAACAGGUCUUCUCCAUAAUACUUUACAGUUGGGAUGAUGUUUUCAUAAUGAUAUUGCGUGCCCUUUCUAUGCCAGAUGUAGUGCUGUGUGUUUUUCCAAAUAGUUCAAUCUUCGUUUCAUUAGUCCACAAAACACCACUGUUGGAAUGUCAAUUUGUUCUUUUGCAAAUUUCAGGCGUGCAGCAAUGUUCUUUUUAGUACUGUAAUUAGUGACUUCCUUUGGUGUCCUGCCGUGAAUACACUGCUUGUUCAGUGUUUUACGUGUUGUAGACUCAAAUACAGAGAGUUCCAAUAAUGCCUUCAAAUCUUUGCCUGUCAUUCUGGGUUGUUUCUAUACCUCAUUAAAGGAAUAGUCUACUCAUUUUCAAUAUUAAAAUAUGUUAUUACCUUAACUAAGAAUUGUUGAUACAUC
Misgurnus anguillicaudatus (oriental weatherfish) is the source of this 1240-nucleotide long non-coding RNA. RefSeq lists it as uncharacterized. NCBI's taxonomy places the organism in Eukaryota, Metazoa, Chordata, Actinopteri, Cypriniformes, Cobitidae. The record is from RefSeq and is a predicted model, not a curated record.